This 1560-nucleotide long non-coding RNA is filed under the name Homo sapiens (human). Its description in RNAcentral is "HSALNT0368580". Lineage: Eukaryota; Metazoa; Chordata; Mammalia; Primates; Hominidae. The record is from RNAcentral.
CCUCAAAGCACCCUGUGAGAAGGCUGGGAUGGGCUACGCCCCGGAGGGCCUCAGAAGAAACAUUAUUCCUCUCCACCCCCAGCCUCCAUGGAGGAACUGAGAGGGCCACUGGUGGAGAAGCUGGUGGCUCAUACAUUCCAGGCUGUGCUAGCGGUUCGGCCAGUGACACUCCAAGGUUUCUUGUGAGGAACCACUCUGGCUCUUUCAAGAAUGGGGAGUUCUUGAAUUCUCUCCCGCUUUCCAGGGAGCUCUCAGCCACAGUGAUUGCUCAGCACCCCUACCCCUGCCCUCCACCCAGCUCCCAGGAAGGUGUGUCAACAUGCCCGAGUGCUGUGAACGUUAUGAGAGGGCCUUGUUGGGAACACGUGCUCCUGGGAAUCAGCCCUUCCCUCUGUCCUGUUCCCACUCCUCCCCGACGAUGCUCCUGCUCAGAACCCACUCCUCACCUCAGUGAAGCAACGCAGCGGGCACCCUGUGGACAAAGCUGGAUAUUGGCUCUGAAUAAAAGCGAAUCAUGGGGAAAAUCAGUGUCUCAGUAAAAUGGGGUUUUCUUAGUAGAGACCAGACUGUGAAGGACCUUGCUUCAUUCCAUCUUUGAGGAGGAUGAUGAUUCAGGGACAUUGGCCCAAGAUCAAAGUGGUAUUUUUAGGUUGUAUUUACUUAGCUAUUUGCCGUCUACCUCCUUAUUUCCAGGUAGCAACUUCCUUCUUAUAUCUGAGAUGUUUAAGAGAUGAUGAAACCAGCUUGCACACACUUCUCAAAGUGUGUUUGUUCGCAUCCAUUAUUUCACUGGGGACCGGCUAUUAUCCUCUCCAUUUUCUUUAUAAGGAUAUUGAAAGAGAGAUUAAAUAACUUGUUCAAGGCCGCAUAGCUAGUUAACAGCUGAACUAGGCUUAAAACCAACGUCUGAAGGCUCCUAUUCCAGUGGCAGCUGCUGUGUGCUUCUUCUGUUUUCCAUCAGUUUGGAAGGGAGCAUAAAGUCUACAGCCACAUGGGUGGGGUCAGCAGAAAGAUUGACCACCAAGCCUGAGGCAGGUGAGGCUGAUCUCCUGGGCACAGCCUCUCUGCACAGGAGUUCACAGAAGUGAUAUGAUCCAAAGUUGCUGAGGGAAAAGCCCUUAUUUGUGGAAUUAACGGCAGGUCUCUCUUGAGGUCAGAAUGAAUGUUAUUGACAUUAUUGUUUGUAUUGUGGUAAGGUAUACAUAAUGGAAAAUGUACCAUUUUGGCUGGACAUGGUGGCUCACGCCUGUAAUCCCAGCACUUUGGGAGGCCAAGGUGGGCGCAUCACCUGAGGUCAGGAGUUCGAGACCAGCCUGCCAACAUGGUGAAACCUCAUCUCUACUAAAAAUACAAAAAUUAGCCGGGCGUGGUGGUGGGUGCCUGUAGUCCCAGCUACUUGGGAGACUGAGGCAGGAGAAUCACCUGAACCCAGGAAGCAGAAGUUGCAGGGAGCCGAGAUGGCCCCACUACACCCCAGCCUGGGUGACAGAGCGAGACUCCGUCUCAGUAAAUAAAUAAAUAAAUAAAAAUAAUAAAAUAAAAUGUACCAUUUUAACCAUU